Molecule: ribosomal RNA, 492 nt
Filed under: uncultured bacterium
Lineage: Bacteria
Description: partial 16S ribosomal RNA
Rfam family: Bacterial small subunit ribosomal RNA (bases 56-492)
Source: RNAcentral
GGGGGGGGGGGGGGGGGGGCGUGGCGCGGGGGGGGCGGGGGGGGGGGGAGUGAGGGCGGGGGCGUGCGGGUGGGGAGGGGCGGACGGGUGAGGGGUACAUCGGAAUCUAGUUUUGCGUGGGGGGGAGCGGGGGGGGACUGAGGCUAAUACGUCAUACGACCUGCGGGUGAAGGCAGGGGAUCUGCGGACUUGGCGCGAUUUAAGGCGCCGCUGUCGGAUUAGCUAGUUGGCGGGGUCAAGGCCAACCAAGGCGACGAUCCGUAGCUGCUCUGAGAGGAUGAUCAGCCACACUUGAACUGAGACACGGUGCAGACUCCUACGGGAGGCAGCAGUGGGGAAUAUUGGACAAUGGGCGCAAGCCUGAUCCAGCCAUACCGCGUGGGUGAAGAAGGCCUUCGGGUUGUAAAGCCCUUUUGUUGGGAAAGAAAAGCAGCGGGUUAAUACCCCGCUGUUCUGACGGUACCCAAAGAAUAAGCACCGGCUAACUUCGUG